RNAcentral lists this ribosomal RNA (2566 nucleotides) under Salmonella enterica subsp. enterica serovar Strathcona. Its description in RNAcentral is "partial 23S ribosomal RNA". It matches the Rfam family "Bacterial large subunit ribosomal RNA", at positions 351 to 2802 of the family's 2925-position model. Lineage: Bacteria; Pseudomonadati; Pseudomonadota; Gammaproteobacteria; Enterobacterales; Enterobacteriaceae. The record is from RNAcentral.
CGCGCGAUACAGGGUGACAGCCCCGUACACAAAAGCGCAUGUGCUGUGAGCUCGAUGAGUAGGGCGGGACACGUGGUAUCCUGUCUGAAUAUGGGGGGACCAUCCUCCAAGGCUAAAUACUCCUGACUGACCGAUAGUGAACCAGUACCGUGAGGGAAAGGCGAAAAGAACCCCGGCGAGGGGAGUGAAAAAGAACCUGAAACCGUGUACGUACAAGCAGUGGGAGCCCCACCACCAAAGCAUUCUCUGGUGUUGAAGGCCCUGCAAAGCAGCAUCGCGGUGGCGGAGCGUCGUUUGCGACGCCCAACACACAAAACAAGCGGUGAGUGCUUUGGGGUGGGGUGACUGCGUACCUUUUGUAUAAUGGGUCAGCGACUUAUAUUCUGUAGCAAGGUUAACCGAAUAGGGGAGCCGGAGGGAAACCGAGUCUUAAUUGGGCGUUAAGUUGCAGGGUAUAGACCCGAAACCCGGUGAUCUAGCCAUGGGCAGGUUGAAGGUUGGGUAACACUAACUGGAGGACCGAACCGACUAAUGUUGAAAAAUUAGCGGAUGACCUGUGGCUGGGGGUGAAAGGCCAAUCAAACCGGGAGAUAGCUGGUUCUCCCCGAAAGCUAUUUAGGUAGCGCCUCGUGAAUUCAUCUCCGGGGGUAGAGCACUGUUUCGGCUAGGGGGCCAUCCCGGCUUACCAACCCGAUGCAAACUGCGAAUACCGGAGAAUGUUAUCACGGGAGACACACGGCGGGUGCUAACGUCCGUCGUGAAGAGGGAAACAACCCAGACCGCCAGCUAAGGUCCCAAAGUCAUGGUUAAGUGGGAAACGAUGUGGGAAGGCCCAGACAGCCAGGAUGUUGGCUUAGAAGCAGCCAUCAUUUAAAGAAAGCGUAAUAGCUCACUGGUCGAGUCGGCCUGCGCGGAAGAUGUAACGGGGCUAAACCAUGCACCGAAGCUGCGGCAGCGACACUGUGUGUUGUUGGGUAGGGGAGCGUUCUGUAAGCCUGUGAAGGUGGCCUGUGAGGGUUGCUGGAGGUAUCAGAAGUGCGAAUGCUGACAUAAGUAACGAUAAAGCGGGUGAAAAGCCCGCUCGCCGGAAGACCAAGGGUUCCUGUCCAACGUUAAUCGGGGCAGGGUGAGUCGACCCCUAAGGCGAGGCCGAAAGGCGUAGUCGAUGGGAAACGGGUUAAUAUUCCCGUACUUGGUGUUACUGCGAAGGGGGGACGGAGAAGGCUAUGUUGGCCGGGCGACGGUUGUCCCGGUUUAAGCGUGUAGGUGUGUGUUCCAGGUAAAUCCGGUUCACUUUAACACUGAGGCGUGACGACGAGGCACUACGGUGCUGAAGCAACAAAUGCCCUGCUUCCAGGAAAAGCCUCUAAGCAUCAGGUAACAUCAAAUCGUACCCCAAACCGACACAGGUGGUCAGGUAGAGAAUACCAAGGCGCUUGAGAGAACUCGGGUGAAGGAACUAGGCAAAAUGGUGCCGUAACUUCGGGAGAAGGCACGCUGACACGUAGGUGAAGUGAUUUACUCACGGAGCUGAAGUCAGUCGAAGAUACCAGCUGGCUGCAACUGUUUAUUAAAAACACAGCACUGUGCAAACACGAAAGUGGACGUAUACGGUGUGACGCCUGCCCGGUGCCGGAAGGUUAAUUGAUGGGGUCAGCGCAAGCGAAGCUCCUGAUCGAAGCCCCGGUAAACGGCGGCCGUAACUAUAACGGUCCUAAGGUAGCGAAAUUCCUUGUCGGGUAAGUUCCGACCUGCACGAAUGGCGUAAUGAUGGCCAGGCUGUCUCCACCCGAGACUCAGUGAAAUUGAACUCGCUGUGAAGAUGCAGUGUACCCGCGGCAAGACGGAAAGACCCCGUGAACCUUUACUAUAGCUUGACACUGAACAUUGAGCCUUGAUGUGUAGGAUAGGUGGGAGGCUUUGAAGUGUGGACGCCAGUCUGCAUGGAGCCGACCUUGAAAUACCACCCUUUAAUGUUUGAUGUUCUAACGUGGACCCGUAAUCCGGGUUGCGGACAGUGUCUGGUGGGUAGUUUGACUGGGGCGGUCUCCUCCUAAAGAGUAACGGAGGAGCACGAAGGUUGGCUAAUCCUGGUCGGACAUCAGGAGGUUAGUGCAAUGGCAUAAGCCAGCUUGACUGCGAGCGUGACGGCGCGAGCAGGUGCGAAAGCAGGUCAUAGUGAUCCGGUGGUUCUGAAUGGAAGGGCCAUCGCUCAACGGAUAAAAGGUACUCCGGGGAUAACAGGCUGAUACCGCCCAAGAGUUCAUAUCGACGGCGGUGUUUGGCACCUCGAUGUCGGCUCAUCACAUCCUGGGGCUGAAGUAGGUCCCAAGGGUAUGGCUGUUCGCCAUUUAAAGUGGUACGCGAGCUGGGUUUAGAACGUCGUGAGACAGUUCGGUCCCUAUCUGCCGUGGGCGCUGGAGAACUGAGGGGGGCUGCUCCUAGUACGAGAGGACCGGAGUGGACGCAUCACUGGUGUUCGGGUUGUCAUGCCAAUGGCACUGCCCGGUAGCUAAAUGCGGAAGAGAUAAGUGCUGAAAGCAUCUAAGCACGAAACUUGCCCCGA